GGACUAUCAUGUCGGUCGUACCUCGGUACGUACUGGUAUUGUUGGUUUCUCCCUUCUGACGAACCAUGAUGUCAUUUAUUUGGUGUUGUAGGGAAUCAGGACUGUUACUUUGAAAAAAUUAGAGUGUUUAAAGCAGGCUCACGCUUGAAUACAUUAGCAUGGAAUAAUGAAAUAGGACGAUUGAUCCUAUUUUUGUUGGUUUCUAGGAUUGACGUA
This 216-nucleotide ribosomal RNA is filed under the name Campeiostachys nutans. RNAcentral describes it as "Elymus nutans partial small subunit ribosomal RNA". The stretch from base 37 to 216 matches the Rfam family "Eukaryotic small subunit ribosomal RNA", at positions 684 to 864 of the family's 1831-position model. Lineage: Eukaryota; Viridiplantae; Streptophyta; Magnoliopsida; Poales; Poaceae. The record is from RNAcentral.